UGCAGAUAAAAACCCUCCAGUGAACAAUUCAUUUUGCCCGCACUCGUUUUGAACUAACCUACUCAUGGGUGCAUCCAUGCCAGCCCGCCCGGCUCCCUCGAUUUACAUAGCAACGUCGGAAUUCGCAGGGUUAAUCCCUAACCCCCAGCAAUACCACUGGGAGAGCUGUAUGGCAGGCUUGAAAUAGUUACUACUUGGAGCAAGCAGCCUUUUCAAGUCUUUACUUAUAAUUCACGGAUUGGAGAAGCUGGAGCACCAAUUUUCAGCUGAGGGCUCCCAAUCUGAGGAGCUGUUUGAGCCAGGCCCUGGAAGAGCAGAGGUAGAAGAGUGCGUGUCUGUGUGUCCAUCCCUCUGUACGUGUGACCUCAGCCACAGCAUCCUUGCCAUGGGAAAGCCACGGGAAUAUGGGAACCAGGACAAAAUUCAAAUCAAUAAAUGGGAGAAGGAGAGAAACCACAAGCUGUGCAUUUUCAGGGAGGUUCUGUGGGAUGGAUGGAGGCUGCUGAGCAUGACCUAA
Molecule: long non-coding RNA, 517 nt
Filed under: Parus major (Great Tit)
Lineage: Eukaryota; Metazoa; Chordata; Aves; Passeriformes; Paridae
Description: lncRNA (ENSPMJG00000013334.1)
Source: RNAcentral